UGCUAAUACCGGAUAACAACACUAGACGCAUGUCUAGAGUUUAAAAGAAUGGUUCUGCUAUCACUCUUGGAUGGACCUGCGGUGCAUUAGCUAGUUGGUAAGGUAACGGCUUACCAAGGCAAUGAUGCAUAGCCGAGUUGAGAGACUGAUCGGCCACAUUGGGACUGAGACACGGUCCAAACUCCUACGGGAGGCAGCAGGU
RNAcentral lists this ribosomal RNA (202 nucleotides) under uncultured bacterium. RNAcentral's name for it is "partial 16S ribosomal RNA". It matches the Rfam family "Bacterial small subunit ribosomal RNA", at positions 161 to 354 of the family's 1533-position model. The record is from RNAcentral.